ACCUUCAGAAGACCCUGUUGUGCCCGGAAUCCGCCCCCACCAUCCAUGAAGGCUGUGCCGGCUGGCCAAGAGUCCUUCCCACGAGCAUGUCGGCUGCCAGUGGCCCUUACCAGGUUCCCAACCUGCAGCAUCUCCUCGAAGUCAGUGGUCAUGUUGUAGUGCUCCAGCGCCAUGAAGAGGGUGUUCAGCACGAUGCACAUGGUGAUGGUGAGGUCGGCGAAGGGAUCCAUGACCAUGAACCUCACUCUCUGCUUGAUGGACAUCCACAGCGGGCAGCACUCCCAGAUGAGGUAGCGCUCAGCGAAGCGGUUCCAGCAUGGCGGACACUUACGCUCUUGCCGGUGGUAACUCUUGAGUGUGGACAGGAAACGACACGUACCCAGUUCUAUUAACCAGAUGCUGUCAUGAUACAUUAGGACAUGCAAAACCAAUCCGGGAGUCUUAAUUGACCACAAGGUCCCUAGAGUCAAAAGCAUAAAGAAAUAGAAGAAAAGUCUCCCGUGCUCCAAGGUGACGUUAAUGGAAGCAGGAAGCACGCAGCCGGCGGGGACAGCUCUCCCUCUACCAUGAAAAUGUGGAACUGGCUCCAGGGCUCCUCUUCCAGCAAUCUAACUUCAUAAAUAAUUAUACGCGUGCACCAGAAAUACGUACGCAGUGACCAUCAUGCAGCAUUUGUUCCUCAUACCAUAAAAACAAAACUGAUCAAUAGAAUCCUAAGAUCCAUUCUGGAAACAAUCCGACUCUGGACCCAGAUACUGACACCGAGGCCUGUGCGUUCCCACGGGAGCCCCUCCCAAACAGCUUACGGAAAAAACAGGAGAAAGAUCUGGAGGAUACGCCCGGAAUUGUUCAAGGGCAUAUUUCUGGGGAUGGGAUUGUGGGGGGAGGCCAAGGAGAGGGCCGAGUCUCCUUUCGCUUCUGCACUCCUGCGCUGUGGGAUGUGUUUUCGGUGUGCGUGCGUCAUUUUUGUAAGGAAAAGAAGCCGAUCUGGAGAUGGAGACGCGGUGCGCGUGAGGAGGGGGCAGCAGGCACUCAGAGCCCCGCUGAGGACCCCCGACACCUCCACCGUGUGCGCCCACAGUCCACGAGCCCGAGCCGGGGCUGCCCAAGGCACUGGGCUGUUCAGCAUGCCAGGGUGAGGCUCGGCGGUCUCUGCGGGUCAGCAGAGCCAGGGCCUGGGUGGCUACCAAACCCAUCUGUGCUCAAGUUAAAGCCAACCUGUGCGAUGGGUGCGACUGGCCUGGAAUGCUGCCUGGGCAGGGAGGGAGCUCCCAGUCACGGAAGGACUCAGGCAGAGGCUCCUGAGAGGGCUGAGGGGGCCGCGCUCACAGCAGUGGCUCGGGUCCAGCAGAACCCCAAACCUGGCCCCCGUAACUCACAAACCUGUCUCAAAUCCUGCCAGCUUCCUUCUCCUCCUCGACACUCUGUGAGAGUCUGAACUGUCGCUUAGGGAGCAUCUGCUUGCUCUUCUCGCACUGUGGGUGAAGUCCCUUCCCCGUCCCACUGAUGACACACGAUGGAGCAAUAGUGGACACGACAUGAACAGGAGCACCUGGGAUGCCUCUGUCUAGCUCCAGAAAUCUUCUAUGAGAACAGGUUCCCCAGGUAAGCUGCCACCCUCUCAGUCUGAGCCUCGGCCCAGAGACACGGGGGGCAGCUUGGAGCCCGCCCCACAGCGUGCAGCUGAACCUAAGUGCAGACAGAGGCACUGAUGCCCAGCCAAGCCCGACCUGGGUCUGUCAUACCACAGUCAACCGGCAGACAGCCGAGUGUGAGAAUAAAGGCUUAUUGUUAGCCACUGC
Long non-coding RNA from Suricata suricatta (meerkat), 1802 nucleotides. RefSeq lists it as uncharacterized. Lineage: Eukaryota; Metazoa; Chordata; Mammalia; Carnivora; Herpestidae. The record is from RefSeq and is a predicted model, not a curated record. The transcript is spliced from 2 exons.